GAUUAACCUAGCUAGAAACUUGGUGAGCUUUUCUUGUGCGCAACAUAUGUUAUGAUUGGUUCUGUGCCAGUAUUUCAAUCUUAGGAAGUUUGAACUCCGAAAGUAUUGCAGUGGGUUGGUAAGAGAACUCGAACUGCCUGAAACCGAUUAGACUGAGCUUACUUGAGACUUGAACCUGUUUAGGCUAGUGUGCUCUUGCGUAUCCUCAAUGGACCUAAUUUGACUGAAUAUAUGGAAUGUGGACUUGAAUUUUGUGACUGUUUAAGAAUG
RNAcentral lists this long non-coding RNA (270 nucleotides) under Coffea arabica (coffee). RNAcentral describes it as "long non-coding RNA (CARA_LNC005926)". The record is from RNAcentral. Lineage: Eukaryota; Viridiplantae; Streptophyta; Magnoliopsida; Gentianales; Rubiaceae.